UGCAGUCGAACGGCAGCAUGAUCUAGCUUGCUAGAUUGAUGGCGAGUGGCGAACGGGUGAGUAAUACAUCGGAACGUGCCCUGUAGUGGGGGAUAACUAGUCGAAAGAUUAGCUAAUACCGCAUACGACCUGAGGGUGAAAGUGGGGGACCGCAAGGCCUCAUGCUAUAGGAGCGGCCGAUGUCUGAUUAGCUAGUUGGUGGGGUAAAGGCCCACCAAGGCGACGAUCAGUAGCUGGUCUGAGAGGACGAUCAGCCACACUGGGACUGAGACACGGCCCAGACUCCUACGGGAGGCAGCAGUGGGGAAUUUUGGACAAUGGGGGCAACCCUGAUCCAGCAAUGCCGCGUGUGUGAAGAAGGCCUUCGGGUUGUAAAGCACUUUUGUCCGGAAAGAAAUCGCACUUACUAAUAUUAGGUGUGGAUGACGGUACCGGAAGAAUAAGGACCGGCUAACUACGUGCCAGCAGCCGCGGUAAUACGUAGGGUCCAAGCGUUAAUCGGAAUUACUGGGCGUAAAGCGUGCGCAGGCGGUUGUGCAAGACCGAUGUGAAAUCCCCGGGCUUAACCUGGGAAUUGCAUUGGUGACUGCACGGCUAGAGUGUGUCAGAGGGGGGUAGAAUUCCACGUGUAGCAGUGAAAUGCGUAGAGAUGUGGAGGAAUACCGAUGGCGAAGGCAGCCCCCUGGGAUAACACUGACGCUCAUGCACGAAAGCGUGGGGAGCAAACAGGAUUAGAUACCCUGGUAGUCCACGCCCUAAACGAUGUCAACUAGUUGUUGGGGAUUCAUUUCCUUAGUAACGUAGCUAACGCGUGAAGUUGACCGCCUGGGGAGUACGGUCGCAAGAUUAAAACUCAAAGGAAUUGACGGGGACCCGCACAAGCGGUGGAUGAUGUGGAUUAAUUCGAUGCAACGCGAAAAACCUUACCUACCCUUGACAUGCCACUAACGAAGCAGA
RNAcentral lists this ribosomal RNA (957 nucleotides) under uncultured bacterium. Its description in RNAcentral is "bacterial SSU rRNA". It matches the Rfam family "Bacterial small subunit ribosomal RNA", at positions 56 to 1004 of the family's 1533-position model. The record is from RNAcentral.